CAUUGCAUGUUUCAACUGGAAAAGCUAUAAUUUCUGGGGAAAUUGUGUGAAGUGUUCUUGCCUCCACCAGUAGUCUACAACUGGAGUGGGCGGAGUAACUGGGUGGAGUGGCUUGAGUAACUGUUGUGUGGUUGGAGUGGCUGGAGUAACUGUGGAAAGGUUGCACUGGGCAGAGUAACUUUAUGAAACAUUGAUUAGCUGUGUUGUUGUUACAUUGUAU
This is a non-coding RNA of Pelobates cultripes (western spadefoot toad), 220 nucleotides long. The record is from the annotation of a GenBank genome assembly. Lineage: Eukaryota; Metazoa; Chordata; Amphibia; Anura; Pelobatidae.